ACUCCUACGGGAGGCAGCAGUGGGGAAUAUUGCACAAUGGGGGGAAACCCUGAUGCAGCCAUGCCGCGUGUAUGAAGAAGGCCUUCGGGGUUGUAAAGUACUUUUCAGCAGUGAGGAAGGUGGAUAUGUUAAUAGCAUAUUCAUUUUGACGUUAGCUGCAGAAAGAAGCACCGGCUAACUCCGUGCCAGCAGCCGCGGUAAUACGGAGGGUGCGAGCGUUAAUCGGAAUUACUGGGCGUAAAGCGCAUGCAGGUGGUUUGUUAAGUCAGAUGU
This 273-nucleotide ribosomal RNA is filed under the name uncultured bacterium. Its description in RNAcentral is "partial 16S ribosomal RNA". It matches the Rfam family "Bacterial small subunit ribosomal RNA", at positions 335 to 595 of the family's 1533-position model. The record is from RNAcentral.